ACGGGAGGCAGCAGUGGGGAAUAUUGGGCAAUGGGCGCAAGCCUGACCCAGCAAUGCCGCGUGAAGGAUGAAGGCUUUCGGGUUGUAAACUUCUUUUAAGUGGGACGAUAAUGACGGUACCACUUGAAUAAGCUCCGGCUAACUACGUGCCAGCAGCCGCGGUAAUACGUAGGGAGCACGCGUUAUCCGGAUUUACUGGUGUAAAGGGCGUGUAGGCGGGACAGCAAGUCAGAUGUGAAAGCACGAGGCUUAACUUCGUGUCUGCAUUUGAAACUGCCGUUCUUGAGUGCUGGAGAGGCUAACGGAACGCCUAGUGUAGCGGUGAAAUGCGUAGAUAUUAGGAAGAACACCAGUGGCGAAGGCGGUUAGCUGGACAGUAACUGACGCUGAGGCGCGAAAGCGUGGGUAGCAAACAGGAUUAGAUACCCUGGUA
This 433-nucleotide ribosomal RNA is filed under the name uncultured Oscillospiraceae bacterium. RNAcentral's name for it is "bacterial SSU rRNA". It matches the Rfam family "Bacterial small subunit ribosomal RNA", at positions 341 to 792 of the family's 1533-position model. The record is from RNAcentral. Lineage: Bacteria; Bacillati; Bacillota; Clostridia; Eubacteriales; Oscillospiraceae.